UUUUUUUUUUUUUUUUUUUUUUUAAGAUUUUGUUUAUUUACUUGAGAGAGACAGAGACAUAGGCAGGCUCCCCACAGGGAGCCUGAUGCAGGACUCACAACCUGAGCCAGAGGCAGACACUCCACCACUGUCAUAAUGCAGAAGCAGCCCUAGACAAUAUGUAAAUCAAUGAGUAUGCCUAUGUUUUAAUAAAACUUCAUUUAAGGAAAUGAGCCAUGGGCUGAGUUUGGCCCACCAAAGUUUUUACUACCCCUUGCUUUUAGUUCUCUCAACAAUCUGCUCUUAGAAUGGAAUUUUUUAAAUUAAAACCAAGUUUGAUACAGUUUUUUUUUGUGAUGUAUACCAGCUGUAUAAAAGUCACAAAAUAUAAAAAAUAUGCAUAUAAGUUACCAAUGUAAAUGUAUUUAAAAGUGAAGAGAAUGUAAGUAAUGAAAGUGAUUAGUGGGUAAAGUAAAUGGGUCAUUUGUGUGCAAACGGUAAUGCAUCUUACAGAGGAAUUAACAGUAAAACAGGUGCUGUGGGAAUUUCUGUCCAGGUUAGGUGAGAAAUAGAUACUAGUUAUUUAAGUGAUUUGAAAUAGCCCUUAAGAAAAGUAAUUAGAGUUCUUGGGAUGGAGGAGAAUGGAGGUGAGGUAAAAACAAUAUUUACUGAUUUUUUUUUCCCACUACUGAUAUCUGCUUAUUUAACUUGGAAUAUGUCCCAUUUAAUCGGGGUAUUGGCACUGUUUAUUCCUUAUUUUAGCAAUUUGUUAGGAUUCUUAUUUUCAGCAAAGUGCCUUGACUCCAUUGAAGAUCUUAUCCAGUGAAACUUGCUGGAGAAAUUUCUAGGACAUUAUUUGUUGCUAGUUGAGAAGGUAGCAUUAGCAGAAAAAUUUUCCUAUAAUGCAGUUGAAAUAGGAUCAGUUUGGUUGAUUUUGGUGUUCAUUGGUUUAAAUAUGUUCUUAAUUGGAUAAUUGAGAAGUAGUAUCUUGGAACAGGUAUUUUACCUCUUCAAAGUCUUCUUUGAAUGUUUUUUUUUUUUUUUUUUUAGUUCUGUCUUUUGAGCUUCUGUUAAUAAGUGCCCCAAAUUUAAAAAUCAUCUUUCUUUAAAAAGUACAUACCAUUAUUAUGAUAGUGUAAAUGUUUGAGUAAAGAGUGUAGGAAGAAUGUUAAUAUUAGGUAGAUCAAUCUAAAAAAUCAUGAUUUUAGUCAAUGUCUAGAAUGUACUUACUAAAAAAAUAAAAAAUACUCAUUUCUAGUAAAGUCAUUUUUAAUAUGUUAGAAAAAUUCUUCCUUGAUGUGAAGGUAAUGUUCAGGUUGCAAGUGAAAUUGCUUCUUUCGGUUAAGGUGCCUGCUCUCAUCAAUUAUUUCAUAAGUUAUUGCUAAUGUAAAAAGAUAGGAAAACAAAAUGAAAAAUUUGGAUAGAGAAUAAAAUACUAUUUGCAAAUUACUUGAUUGCAAUAUUUUGAAAAUCCAAAGAAUUACACUGAAAAUUAGCUUUCCUUUUUUUUCUUUUAAGAUUUAUUUAUUUAUUUAUUCAUAAGAGACACAGAGAAAGAGAGGCAGAGACGCAGGCAGAGGGAGAAGUAGGCUCCAUGCAGGGAGCCCGAUGUGGGACUUGAUCCCGGGUCUCCAGGAUCACUCCCUGGGCUGAAGGUGGCGCUAAACUGCUGAGCCACCCAGGCUGCUCCAAAAAUUAGCUUUCCUAAACAAUAAUAAUCAAUUGGCAAAUUAUAAGAGAAGACCCAUUUAUAGUAAGAUCCACAAAAUAAUAAAAGUUAUGUGGCGCUGCCAAAGGAAAAAACUACAAAACUUAACUGGGAGAUACAGUGUCUCUGGGUAUAAGAUUAAAUAUAUCCCCAUUUGAUAGGUCCCAUUUUCCACACAGAUCUUCCACAGAAGGCUUGUAUCAAGUGGGAGGUGGCAGCUGGUUAGUGGUGCCCAUUGUACCAUUCCCAAAUCCUGUAGUGUAAGGAGAAUCAGGGCAGGACAGCUACUCUUAUUGUACAAGUACCUUUCCAACACAACCGUGUUAUGAGAGACCUGCCCUGGUGAGCUUGGCAUCCAGAUGACAGCUUAUAUCUCUCAAAGCUUUCUGGGGACAGAAGAGCUAUUCUGUGUACAUUCAGCAGCUGGUGAACAUUAUUUUUUUUAAUUAUUUUUUAUUUUAAGAUUUUUUAAUUUAUUCAUGAGAAACACAGAGGUAGAGACACAGGCAGAGGAAGAAACAGGCUCCAUGUAGGGAGCCCGAUGCAGGCUUGAUCCUGGAACUCUGGGAUCACGCCCUGAGCCAAAGGCAGAUGCUCAACCACUGAGCCACUCAGGCAUCCCACUAGUGAACAUUAGAGCAGAUUCCGUCCUCUGUGAUUCUGGGCUAUAGAAGAUCCAUACUGGGAGGUGAUAGAAGAUUCUCCCCCAUGUUGUCCUCUAACCCCUGACACAACUGCUCUGCAGGGAGGAUCUGGGAGACAUUCAGCGAAGAGCCAGGUUUCCCAUACCCUCACUCCUACGCCCUACCAAACAUGCUCCAUAGUACAAAGGCGAAGAAAGGGGUUCACUUUAAGAGAAGGGUUGAGUGAGCUUGACAGCACACUUCCCAUAUACUAGGGGCCUAACUUUACCUGGAACAGACUGGAGCUGUUUGUACCCCCAAAAUUGUUGAAAACUAUAGGACAAUCAGCUACCAAUUAAAUAGAGGCUAGCAGUUACUGGUAAUACCAAUAGAUACCAGCCAGAAAGCUUAAAGACCAAAUCGGGGAGACAAAGACUGGGUAAAACUACAGACAUCCCUUGUGAUUAAUGUGUGUGAUUCAGGGCUAGAGCCACAUAGGAACAACCAGAGUUACAAGUCCCUAACAGAAUGUAGGACAAAACUUGUAAACUCCCUAAACAGUGAAAGAUGCCACACCCCACAUAUUGUUGUAGGGUGUAAAUCUCCCUGAUUCAGGGGGCUUAAACACAACCUCUUAUUAAUUAAUGGCUGAUCAUUAAUGAUGCUGACUCAGAAGCAACCCUUAGGAAGUCAUCCUUAAAGAUAAAAAUGAGAGAAACAACUUGAGCAGGAACAUCAGAUGUGUCCCUGCACAUUGUGAGGGACACAGACUUCAUGAAUUAGUUCAGCCAUGCCACUAAAUAAAAAAUAAGCUCAGAGUAGACCGGAGAACCACCAUGUAGACAUCCUACAAUAUGUUACCUAAAACCUGUUUUCAACACAAAAUUAUGAGACAUUCAAAGAAACAAAGUGUGACACGUGGACAAAAGCAGGCAACAGAAAUUUCCUUUGAUGGACAGCAGAUACAGGAUAAGUGUUCUGAAACAAUUGUAAAUCUGUUCAAACACCUAAAGAAAACCAAGUUUAAAGAAUUAAAGUAUGCUGACUGUGACUCAUCAAAUGUAAAUAAAAAGGUAGGAAGAAAAAGAGCUAAAUGAAAAUUUUGGGAGUUGAAAAUUUGGAACUUUUGCUAGGGAGGCUCAAUAGUACAUUUAAGCUGGCAGAAGAAUCAGCAAACCUGAAGAUGGAUGGAGAGAAAUUACAAAAUCUGAAGCACAAAUGGGAAAAGGAAUGGGAAAAAAAAAAAAAAAAAAAGCCUUCCUCACACUACAUGCACAAGUCAACUCAAGAUGGAUCAUAAACCAAAAUAUAAGCAAAACCCAUAAAACUCAUGAAAAUAUUGUGACCUCUUUAAGUAGUCGUCUUAGAUAUGACACCAAAAUCACAAAUGAAAAAAGAAAUAAUUUAAAAUGCAUAGUUUUUAUUAGAUUAUGAGUUGACCUAUUUCAUCUAAUUCAAUAAUUUCAAUAAAAACUUUGCUCUACAUAUCUUCAUUCCUCUAGCAAUGUUUAUCUGGGAAUGUCUUAAUUUUUUUCUUCCUUUUUGAAGGAUAGUUUUGCUGACUAUAGAAUUGAUUGACAGUUUUUUCUGUUCAGCACCUUGAGUACAUCAUCUCACUGCUUCUGGCCUCCAUGGUUUCUGUAGAUAAGUCAGCUGUUAAUCUUAUUGAGGAUCCCUUGUAUUGAUGAGUCCCUUGCUGUUUCAAGAUUGUCUCUUGCUUUUGUUUUUAAUAGUUUGAUUAUAAUAUGUCUGGGUAUACAUAUCUUUGAGAACUUGGGAGUUCCUGGAGUUUCAUGGAUUUGUAGGUUAAUAUUUAUCAUCAGAUUUGGGAAGUUUUUUUCAAAUAUUCUUUUCGAUGCUUUUUUCCCUUUUCCUCUGAGACUCACAUUAUAUAUAUGCUGUUAUACUUGUUGGCUCUAUUCUCUUAGGCUCUGUUCAUUUUCUUCAUUUUUUUCCUGUUCCUCAAACUGUACGAUGUCAGUUGAUCUAUCUUUAAGUUUAUAUAUUCAUCUGCUUGCUCAAAUCUGUUGCUGAGCCACUCAAGUGAAAUUUUCAUUUCAAUUAUUAUACUUUUCAACUCUAAUUGAAAGUUAUAGAUUUAAAAGUUCUUUUCACUACUUCUAUUUAUAGUCUUCAUUUGGUUGAAACAUACUUUGAUUUCAUUCUUUAGACAUGGCUUCAUUAAAAUCUUUGCUUAGAAAAUCCGGUGUCUGGGCUUUCUCAGGAUAUCUAUUGAUUGCUUUUCCUCCUGCGUAUGAGCCAUAUUUUCCUCUCUUUGCAUGCCUUGUAAUUCUUAGUUGAAAACAGAACUUUUAAAUUAUAAUGUGGCAACACUGAAAAUCAGAUUCUCCACUCCCUCUUCCAUCCUAGUGUUUGUUGUUGCUGCUUGUUGUAGUUGUUGUUUGUCUAGUAACUUUUCUGAACUAAUUUUGUAAAGUCUGUAUUCUUUGUCAUGUGUGGCCACUGAAGUAUCUGUUGUUAACUUAAUGGCCAGCUAAUGAUUGGACAGAGAUUUCCUUAAACAUCCAGAAUGAAAAAAUUUCCCACUGUUUGCCGUGGAUUCUGUGUGUGUUUUUGUGGUGCACAUCCAGCACUCAGCCAGGUAGUUUACAAUUGUGCCUUAACCUCAGCUUUCUACUUAGGAGAACCUCCAGGUCAGUCAGAGAUGACAGCUUGAGGCCUUCUCAGGGCUUUCCUUAGAAUACACACAGCCCUGACCAUGCAUGUCGCCUUCUAGAUUCCCAGGAAUAU
This 5061-nucleotide long non-coding RNA is filed under the name Canis lupus familiaris (dog). RNAcentral describes it as "lncRNA (ENSCAFG00845026209.1)". The record is from RNAcentral. Lineage: Eukaryota; Metazoa; Chordata; Mammalia; Carnivora; Canidae.